CUGUAAGAAAUUUCAAAGGCCUCUUUAACCUGGGGCCUGUUAUGCAAAGUCUGUAAAAACAAGCAGUUUCCAUGGUAGUACACACAGCCUGUGGCUUACCUGUGCUGUUCUAGAGGCCCUUGGAGACAGUC
Molecule: small nucleolar RNA, 131 nt
Organism: Sorex araneus (European shrew)
Lineage: Eukaryota; Metazoa; Chordata; Mammalia; Eulipotyphla; Soricidae
Gene: SNORA70
Rfam family: Small nucleolar RNA SNORA70
About the family: snoRNA U70 seems to be exclusive to mammals and is a member of the H/ACA class of snoRNA which contain H (ANANNA) and ACA box motifs. H/ACA box snoRNAs are involved in the conversion of uridines to pseudouridines (5-ribosyluracil) a constituent of structural RNAs (transfer, ribosomal, small nuclear, and small nucleolar).
Source: Ensembl